This 496-nucleotide ribosomal RNA is filed under the name uncultured bacterium. RNAcentral describes it as "partial 16S ribosomal RNA". It matches the Rfam family "Bacterial small subunit ribosomal RNA", at positions 28 to 506 of the family's 1533-position model. The record is from RNAcentral.
GAUGAACGCUGGCGGCGUGCCUAAUACAUGCAAGUCGAGCGAACAGACGAGGAGCUUGCUCCUCUGACGUUAGCGGCGGACGGGGGAGUAACACGUGGAUAACCUACCUAUAAGACUGGGAUAACUUCGGGAAACCGGAGCUAAUACCGGAUAAUAUAUUGAACCGCAUGGGUCAAUAGUGAAAGACGGUUUUGCUGUCACUUAUAGAUGGAUCCGCGCCGCAUUAGCUAGUUGGUAAGGUAACGGCUUACCAAGGCGACGAUGCGUAGCCGACCUGAGAGGGUGAUCGGCCACACUGGAACUGCGACACGGUCCAGACUCCUACGGGAGGCAGCAGUAGGGAAUCUUCCGCAAUGGGCGAAAGCCUGACGAAGCAACGCCGCGGGAGUGAUGAUGGUCUUCGGCUCGUAAAACUCUGUUAUUAGGGAAGAACAAAUGUGUAAGUAACUAUGCGCGUCUUGACGGUACCUAAUCAGAAAGCCCCGCCUACCUCCGU